UUGCUGUUUUGACGUUACCGACAGAAUAAGCACCGGCUAACUCUGUGCCAGCAGCCGCGGUAAUACAGAGGGUGCAAGCGUUAAUCGGAAUUACUGGGCGUAAAGCGCGCGUAGGUGGUUCGUUAAGUUGGAUGUGAAAUCCCCGGGCUCAACCUGGGAACUGCAUCCAAAACUGGCGAGCUAGAGUAGGGCAGAGGGUGGUGGAAUUUCCUGUGUAGCGGUGAAAUGCGUAGAUAUAGGAAGGAACACUGGUCGACGCGGCCG
This 264-nucleotide ribosomal RNA is filed under the name uncultured marine bacterium. Its description in RNAcentral is "partial 16S ribosomal RNA". It matches the Rfam family "Bacterial small subunit ribosomal RNA", at positions 461 to 727 of the family's 1533-position model. The record is from RNAcentral.